RNAcentral lists this ribosomal RNA (1158 nucleotides) under Triticum aestivum (bread wheat). RNAcentral describes it as "partial small subunit ribosomal RNA". Lineage: Eukaryota; Viridiplantae; Streptophyta; Magnoliopsida; Poales; Poaceae. The record is from RNAcentral.
AUGAAGAAGGCUCCCCCGAUCGCUUCCUUUGAUGGCCGUUUGAUCGUGGUCAGACUAGUCUUCGACUUUGUUUCGACCGUUAGAUGCUUGCUGUUUUCGCUGUUGGUUUUGACCGUGUGCCAUUUCGAGGUGCGAGUGCGCCCUCUCCCCGCAAGCCGCGUGCACGUCGCGCCAUUUGCGGGGGCGUGGGUCCCUUUCCUACGAUACCGUGGUCUUUGCCCCUGCUCCAUCCGACCUCCAUGGCGGACGAGGGCCCGAUCCGCGCCGACGCCGUGCCGGCGGCGGCCGGGGCGGGCGCGGAGAGGGCCGAUGCGGCGGCUGCGGGCGGGGUGGCGGCGGCCAAGGCCAGGGAGGACGAGGUUGGCCACGGGCGGGGCGGCGGCGGCCAAGGCUAGGAAGGACGAGGUCAGGGAGUACAAGAGUGACGUGAGGAAGCUGGAGGAGCUGUUCAAGAAGCUGAACCCCUCCGUGGAGGAGUUCGUGCCGCUCUUCCUUCGCCAGGAGGACAGCGCAUGCCGCCUGUCGGCCGACGCGCUCGUCUUUGCCUCGCCCGCGAUCGACUACUAUGCUCCUCCGUCCACCGACUCUGUCCGUGCAGGUCGCCAGUUUCCUUUCGCGCCAACCUUCUCCACUGUCUCCCCAGUUCAUCCUCCGUCCCUUGCUGCUCGAGAUUCUCAUCUGCUCAGGCUGCGAGGAAGACACGUGAGGAGGAGAGACCUCGUCUCGAGAAGCCCGGAGGAGGGGCUGAAACAGAGAGGAGCAGAUGCCAGCCAGCUUGGUUUUCAGUUUGACUAUGUAUUUGACUGGACAAUAUUGAAGUACCAGCAAUCUCAAAUUGCUGGUGCUCUGCCUCGUGUUGCAGCAAUAUUGAUGAGUAAUUGGCUUAUAAUAAAGUUGCCAGAAAGUUUCUUUGCUUCUAUGGCUAACUUGAACCAGAUGGUCACCGGUUGGUCCUCCUCUUCUCUCCUCGCGCCAUCGUCCUCCUCCUCAUCCAUCUCUCGAUUCAGCCAAGACAAUGGGGAUCAAGACUAUCUAACAGCUGACCUUCUUGCUUGCAGUGGUACAGGUGUGAUCUUCAUGGAGCUAGCAAUCAUUGGAUUUGGAGUUUCCUACCUUUCUUCUGCAAAUCUGGAAUGCCUUUAUGGCAUGAUCUCGUGA